Molecule: ribosomal RNA, 2936 nt
Filed under: Serratia marcescens
Lineage: Bacteria; Pseudomonadati; Pseudomonadota; Gammaproteobacteria; Enterobacterales; Yersiniaceae
Description: bacterial LSU rRNA
Rfam family: Bacterial large subunit ribosomal RNA
Source: RNAcentral
GGGUUGUGAGGUUAAGUGACUAAGCGUACACGGUGGAUGCCUAGGCAGUCAGAGGCGAUGAAGGGCGUGCUAAUCUGCGAAAAGCGUCGGUAAGGUGAUAUGAACCGUUAUAACCGGCGAUACCCGAAUGGGGAAACCCAGUGUGUUUCGACACACUAUCAUGUCAUGAAUACAUAGUGGCAUGAGGCGAACCGGGGGAACUGAAACAUCUAAGUACCCCGAGGAAAAGAAAUCAACCGAGAUUCCCCCAGUAGCGGCGAGCGAACGGGGAGGAGCCCAGAACCUGAAUCGGCUUGUGUGUUAGUGGAAGCGUCUGGAAAGUCGCGCAGCAAAGGGUGAUAGCCCCGUACACUAAAAUGCACAGGUCGUGAGUUCGAUGAGUAGGGCGGGACACGUGACAUCCUGUCUGAAUAUGGGGGGACCAUCCUCCAAGGCUAAAUACUCCUGACUGACCGAUAGUGAACCAGUACCGUGAGGGAAAGGCGAAAAGAACCCCGGCGAGGGGAGUGAAAUAGAACCUGAAACCGUGUACGUACAAGCAGUGGGAGCACCUUCGUGGUGUGACUGCGUACCUUUUGUAUAAUGGGUCAGCGACUUAUAUUUUGUAGCAAGGUUAACCGUAUAGGGGAGCCGUAGGGAAACCGAGUCUUAACUGGGCGAAUAGUUGCAAGGUAUAGACCCGAAACCCGGUGAUCUAGCCAUGGGCAGGUUGAAGGUUGGGUAACACUAACUGGAGGACCGAACCGACUAAUGUUGAAAAAUUAGCGGAUGACUUGUGGCUGGGGGUGAAAGGCCAAUCAAACCGGGAGAUAGCUGGUUCUCCCCGAAAGCUAUUUAGGUAGCGCCUCGUGAACUCAUCUUCGGGGUAGAGCACUGUUUCGGCUAGGGGCCAUCCCGGCUUACCAAACCGAUGCAAACUCCGAAUACCGAAGAAUGUUAUCACGGGAGACACACGGCGGGUGCUAACGUCCGUCGUGAAGAGGGAAACAACCCAGACCGCCAGCUAAGGUCCCAAAGUCAUGGUUAAGUGGGAAACGAUGUGGGAAGGCACAGACAGCCAGGAUGUUGGCUUAGAAGCAGCCAUCAUUUAAAGAAAGCGUAAUAGCUCACUGGUCGAGUCGGCCUGCGCGGAAGAUGUAACGGGGCUAAACCAUGCACCGAAGCUGCGGCAGCGACGCUUAGGCGUUGUUGGGUAGGGGAGCGUUCUGUAAGCCGUUGAAGGUGGCCUGUGAGGGUUGCUGGAGGUAUCAGAAGUGCGAAUGCUGACAUAAGUAACGAUAAAGCGGGUGAAAAGCCCGCUCGCCGGAAGACCAAGGGUUCCUGUCCAACGUUAAUCGGGGCAGGGUGAGUCGACCCCUAAGGCGAGGCUGAAAAGCGUAGUCGAUGGGAAACAGGUUAAUAUUCCUGUACUUGGUGUUACUGCGAAGGGGGGACGGAGAAGGCUAGGCUGGCCGGGCGACGGUUGUCCCGGUUUAAGCGUGUAGGGGGUGUGACCUGGUAAAUCCGGUUGCAUAUCAACCCUGAGGCGUGAUGACGAUGCACUACGGUGCAGAAGUAGUUGAUGCCCUGCUUCCAGGAAAAUCCUCUAAGCUCCAGGUAACAUUGAAUCGUACCCCAAACCGACACAGGUGGUCAGGUAGAGAAUACCAAGGCGCUUGAGAGAACUCGGGUGAAGGAACUAGGCAAAAUGGUGCCGUAACUUCGGGAGAAGGCACGCUGGCAUGUAGGUGAAGUCCCUUGCGGAUGGAGCUGAAGCCAGUCGAAGAUACCAGCUGGCUGCAACUGUUUAAUAAAAACACAGCACUGUGCAAACACGAAAGUGGACGUAUACGGUGUGACGCCUGCCCGGUGCUGGAAGGUUAAUUGAUGGGGUCAGCCGCAAGGCGAAGCUCUUGAUCGAAGCCCCAGUAAACGGCGGCCGUAACUAUAACGGUCCUAAGGUAGCGAAAUUCCUUGUCGGGUAAGUUCCGACCUGCACGAAUGGCGUAAUGAUGGCCAGGCUGUCUCCACCCGAGACUCAGUGAAAUUGAACUCGCUGUGAAGAUGCAGUGUACCCGCGGCAAGACGGAAAGACCCCGUGAACCUUUACUAUAGCUUGACACUGAACAUUGAGCCUUGAUGUGUAGGAUAGGUGGGAGGCUUUGAAGCGUGGACGCCAGUCUGCGUGGAGCCAUCCUUGAAAUACCACCCUUUAAUGUUUGAUGUUCUAACUCUGCCCCGUAAUCCGGGGUGAGGACAGUGUCUGGUGGGUAGUUUGACUGGGGCGGUCUCCUCCCAAAGAGUAACGGAGGAGCACGAAGGUUAGCUAAUCACGGUCGGACAUCGUGAGGUUAGUGCAAAGGCAUAAGCUAGCUUGACUGCGAGAGUGACGGCUCGAGCAGGUACGAAAGUAGGUCUUAGUGAUCCGGUGGUUCUGAAUGGAAGGGCCAUCGCUCAACGGAUAAAAGGUACUCCGGGGAUAACAGGCUGAUACCGCCCAAGAGUUCAUAUCGACGGCGGUGUUUGGCACCUCGAUGUCGGCUCAUCACAUCCUGGGGCUGAAGUAGGUCCCAAGGGUAUGGCUGUUCGCCAUUUAAAGUGGUACGCGAGCUGGGUUUAGAACGUCGUGAGACAGUUCGGUCCCUAUCUGCCGUGGGCGUUGGAAGAUUGAGAGGGGUUGCUCCUAGUACGAGAGGACCGGAGUGAACGCACCACUGGUGUUCGGGUUGUCAUGCCAAUGGCAUUGCCCGGUAGCUAAGUGCGGAAAAGAUAAGCGCUGAAAGCAUCUAAGCGCGAAACUUGCCUCAAGAUGAGUCUUCCCUUGGACUUUGAGUCCACUGAAGGAACGUUUAAGACUAAGACGUUGAUAGGCUGGGUGUGUAAGUGCAGCGAUGCAUUGAGCUAACCAGUACUAAUGAUCCGUGAGGCUUAACCUUACAACACCGAAGGUGUUUUAG